GACGAACGCUGGCGGCGUGCUUAACACAUGCAAGUCGAACGGAAAGGCUCCAGCUUGCUGGAGUACUCGAGUGGCGAACGGGUGAGUAACACGUGGGUAAUCUGCCCUGCACUCUGGGAUAAGCCUGGGAAACUGGGUCUAAUACUGGAUAUGACCUUUCUCCUUAUGGGGUUUGGUGGAAAGUUUUUCGGUGUAGGAUGAGCCCUCGGCCUAUCAGCUUGUUGGUGGGGUGAUGGCCUACCAAGGCGACGACGGGUAGCCGGCCUGAGAGGGUGAUCGGCCACAUUGGGACUGAGAUACGGCCCAGACUCCUACGGGAGGCAGCAGUGGGGAAUAUUGCACAAUGGGCGGAAGCCUGAUGCAGCGACGCCGCGCGAGGGAUGACGGCCUUCGGGUUGUAAACCUCUUUCAGCAGGGACGAAGCGUAAGUGACGGUACCUGCAGAAGAAGCACCGGCUAACUACGUG
This 467-nucleotide ribosomal RNA is filed under the name uncultured bacterium. RNAcentral's name for it is "partial 16S ribosomal RNA". It matches the Rfam family "Bacterial small subunit ribosomal RNA", at positions 28 to 507 of the family's 1533-position model. The record is from RNAcentral.